This is a long non-coding RNA of Penaeus vannamei (Pacific white shrimp), 657 nucleotides long. RefSeq lists it as uncharacterized. The record is from RefSeq and is a predicted model, not a curated record. NCBI's taxonomy places the organism in Eukaryota, Metazoa, Arthropoda, Malacostraca, Decapoda, Penaeidae.
GGACAGAUGCAUGGAGACCCACAUGAAAUAAAAUCAGGGCUGUCCGGCAGAGGAGGAAGUGUAUAGCUUUACAUUUCUCGCACAGAGUUGGAGGGAAAUGGGAAGUCCAAGGAGUGAAAGCCUCACUGCAGCAAGAGAGGAAAGAUUGCUUGAUUGUCUCUUUCCUUAAACAGACAAGCAGGUAGCAUAUGCUGGAGGAGCCUAGUCCAUCUUCAAGGACGAACAGCGACUGGAGACGAAGGGAUAACCUGUGGCCCCAUUUUGCUAUUCCAUAAAUGCAGUGACAAAUAAAGUGAAGGAAAGAGAUCCAGUGCUGGAAAGGCAAGAAAUAAAUUCCAGUGGAGGGAGGUAAGUAGAAAGUAUGAAGCUUAAAAAUGUUUAUAUGAAAUACUAUGAAAGUGAAACUUUGGCGAUUAUAGAAUGAAUGAUGUGAAAUGAAAAAACGUAUAGGUUAUACUUUCUUCCUGGAUUCAAGUAAUAAAAGUGAGAAUUCUGAUUUUCAGAUUAUUAUUGGUAUUGUUCUCUUGACUUCCAAUAGCUCAAAUGCUUUUCUGAUUGAGAGAAGGUGAUUAGUAAAAUGGAUAAAGCAAUGGAAUGUUUAAUCAAUAUUUAUUAUUUCAGAACAAUAUUGUGGCUUUACAUGGGAAAGUGUAAUGA